CACAUGCAAGUCGAACGGGAUGCUUAGGCAUCUAGUGGCGGACGGGUGAGUAACGCGUGAGAAUCUGGCUCCAGGUCGGGGAUAACAGUUGGAAACGACUGCUAAUACCGGAUGUGCCGAAAGGUGAAAGAUUUAUUGCCUGGAGAUGAGCUCGCGUCUGAUUAGCUAGUUGGUGGUGUAAGGGACCACCAAGGCGUCGAUCAGUAGCUGGUCUGAGAGGAUGAUCAGCCACACUGGGACUGAGACACGGCCCAGACUCCUACGGGAGGCAGCAGUGGGGAAUUUUCCGCAAUGGGCGAAAGCCUGACGGAGCAAUACCGCGUGAGGGAGGAAGGCUCUUGGGUCGUAAACCUCUUUUCUCAAGGAAGAAGAAAGUGACGGUACUUGAGGAAUAAGCAUCGGCUAACUCCGUGCCAGCAGCCGCGGUAAUACGGAGGAUGCAAGCGUUAUCCGGAAUGAUUGGGCGUAAAGGGUCUGCAGGUGGAACUGAAAGUCUGCUGUUAAAGAGUUUGGCUUAACCAAAUAAAAGCGGUGGAAACUACAGAACUAGAGUGCGGUAGGGGCAAAAGGAAUUCCUGGUGUAGCGGUGAAAUGCGUAGAUAUCAGGAAGAACACCGGUGGCGAAAGCGUUUUGCUAGACCGUAACUGACACUGAGGGACGAAAGCUAGGGGAGCGAAUGGGAUUAGAUACCCCAGUAGUCCUAGCCGUAAACGAUGGAUACUAGGCGUGGCUUGUAUCGACCCGAGCCGUGCCGGAGCUAACGCGUUAAGUAUCCCACCUGGGGAGUACGAACGCAAGUUUGAAACUCAAAGGAAUUGACGGGGGCCCGCACAAGCGGUGGAGUAUGUGGUUUAAUUCGAUGCAACGCGAAGAACCUUACCAAGACUUGACAUCCUGCGAAUCCUGGUGAAAGCUGGGAGUGCCUUAGGGAGCGCAGAGACAGGUGGUGCAUGGCUGUCGUCAGCUCGUGUCGUGAGAUGUUGGGUUAAGUCCCGCAACGAGCGCAACCCUCGUUUUUAGUUGCCAGCAUUAAGUUGGGCACUCUAGAGAGACUGCCGGUGACAAACCGGAGGAAGGUGAGGAUGACGUCAAGUCAGCAUGCCCCUUACGUCUUGGGCUACACACGUACUACAAUGCUACGGACAGAGGGCAGCGAGCCAGGGAUGGCAAGCGAAUCCAGAAACCGUAGCUCAGUUCAGAUCGAAGGCUGCAACUCGCCUUCGUGAAGGAGGAAUCGCUAGUAAUUGCAGGUCAGCAUACUGCAGUGAAUUCGUUCCCGGGCCUUGUACACACCGCCCGUCACACCAUGGAAGUUGGUCACGCCCGAAGUCAUUACCCCAACCGAAAGGAGGGGGAUGCCUAAGGUAGGACUG
This 1374-nucleotide ribosomal RNA is filed under the name Cylindrospermopsis raciborskii XM4. Its description in RNAcentral is "bacterial SSU rRNA". It matches the Rfam family "Bacterial small subunit ribosomal RNA". The record is from RNAcentral. Lineage: Bacteria; Bacillati; Cyanobacteriota; Cyanophyceae; Nostocales; Aphanizomenonaceae.